CUCUGCUCUUCUGUCUUUUCUUCACACACUGUUGCAGAGUUUCAGGUGCUGUUCCUCAACCUGUCACCACUUUAGCAGGGCUUGAUGGAAAGGGAGGAGUGGAGUUACAGUGUGAGUCUGCAGGCUGGUAUCCAGAGCCUGAGGUGUUGUGGCUGGACGGUGAUGGAAACCUCCUCUCUGCUGGACCUACAGAGACAGUCAGAGGUCCUGAUGACCUCUAUACUGUCAGCAGCAGAGUGACUGUGGAGAAGAAACACAGCAACAAGUUCACCUGCAGA
Acanthochromis polyacanthus (spiny chromis) is the source of this 278-nucleotide long non-coding RNA. RefSeq lists it as uncharacterized. NCBI's taxonomy places the organism in Eukaryota, Metazoa, Chordata, Actinopteri, Pomacentridae. The record is from RefSeq and is a predicted model, not a curated record. The transcript is spliced from 2 exons.